Long non-coding RNA from Suricata suricatta (meerkat), 943 nucleotides. RefSeq lists it as uncharacterized. The transcript is spliced from 4 exons. NCBI's taxonomy places the organism in Eukaryota, Metazoa, Chordata, Mammalia, Carnivora, Herpestidae. The record is from RefSeq and is a predicted model, not a curated record.
AAAUGGCGGCCAGACAGGAUACAAUGGGGGCAAGGGUGUUGAUUCAGGGUUCAGGAGAGGCCUCACCAUAUAAGGGAUGGAGGGAAACCCCAGGUGACAGGCUCCAGCCCCCUGGACAUUCCCGUGCUUCUCCUGGCACAGUCUGCAGCAUGCUUAAAGCAGUAGCAUUGGGAUUUUCAUCACACUGGGGCCAACCCAGGGCUCAGGAGCUAAUCGGCCGUGCAGCUUGUGACCCUUGGAGAAAGGCCAUAUUUUGGCCAAACAGCAUUUCCUGUAGCUGUGGACUGGGUGGUGGGGGGAGAGGUGGGAGAAGAGAGAAAUGCUGCUCUGCCCUCUGCUGGAGUUAUCUGAGCGGAAACCCUUUGAGCCCCAUUCUUUGGGAGUGAAGGAACCUUUGAGACGUUGCCUGGCCAUUGUGGAAUCUUGGCACUGGGCUUGGAGAAGACAAUGACCAGAACUCAGAAUGGUUUUGACAUGUCUCAGCUCUUGUGCUGACAAUGGGUAGUCUGCAUGUGGAUCACAAGAACAUGGGGGCAGAACGGAAGAUGCCUGAUCCAAGUCUUCCUGAAGACCCAUCUUCCCCAUUCUCAAGGAGCUGUGUGAUGGGAUGUGAAGGGAUUAUUGUUCCUGUGCCCUGUCUAGUCCUUAUCCUAAGUUUCAGCUGUAUGCACCUUCUGGGUUCUGCCUUCUGGGUCCCACUGGGAUCCCUAAAUCACAAAAUACUGUCAGUCAUCAAAAGGAAAUAAGCACGGACUGUUGACUGCAUUUGGUUUCAAACCAAGUAGAUGUUUCUCAAGGUCAUUGCCAGUCUCUGGUCUGCCACGGCACCGUCUUGCCAGCAUACGUGGGCAGUUCCCUACACACCGGCUGCCUCUGGCCUGUUCUUCCAUUGCUUAUAGGGCUUCAAUGCAAUAAAUAAAGAGAAUAAAUAAGCCUCUGCUGA